Molecule: ribosomal RNA, 253 nt
Filed under: uncultured bacterium
Lineage: Bacteria
Description: partial 16S ribosomal RNA
Rfam family: Bacterial small subunit ribosomal RNA
Source: RNAcentral
UACGUAGGGUGCGAGCGUUAAUCGGAAUUACUGGGCGUAAAGCGUGCGCAGGCGGUUUUGUAAGCCAGAUGUGAAAGCCCCGGGCUUAACCUGGGAAUGGCAUUUGGGACUGCAAGGCUGGAGUGUGGCAGAGGAGACUGGAAUUCCUGGUGUAGCAGUGAAAUGCGUAGAUAUCUGGAGGAAUACCGGUGGCGAAGGCGGCAUCCUGGACCGAGAUUGACGCUGAGGAGCGAAAGCUAGGGGAGCAAACGGG